Molecule: non-coding RNA, 587 nt
Organism: Hydra vulgaris (swiftwater hydra)
Lineage: Eukaryota; Metazoa; Cnidaria; Hydrozoa; Anthoathecata; Hydridae
Source: RefSeq, a predicted model, not a curated record
AAUGGAAGAGAAUAAAAAAACUAAAGUUAAACGAAAAUUGUUUGUAAAACCUGUAGCUAUUGUUAAACCUUACGUUCCAGAAGGAACUUAUAAAAUUCCUCAAGCUUAUAUUCCUCAAGUGGUUGAAACAAGACCACUUGAGAGAAUUGAUCAACAAAUAUGCGAAGAUGAAUUGGAAAUAUUUGACGAUAUUCCAGAAAUUGAUGACGGUAAAUUAGUAUUAUUUUUUAUAAAUAUGAUAUAUUUUUAAAAAAAAUCUAAUAGUUUAAAAUAAUUUUUUUAGAACGAGUGCGUAUAUUAGAUAACAUAAUGAUAAGAAUAGACCGUCAUUUGGAGGACGAUGACAUAAUGAUUAGAAACGAUCGGUAUUUUGCAACACCAAGACGCGUGAUAUGUUUUGGAUGUUGCCUGUGUGACGAAGAGAGCGUGCACAAUCAUUGUUGUACAACAACCGUGUGCCCGUACGUGCAAGGACUAUUUGAACGGUGCCGCGGUUGUUGUUACUGUUUGUAAAUAAUUGUAAAUAUUUGUAAAUAAUAAAACAUUUGUAAAAUAUAUUUGUAUAUUAUAAUAAAAAAAAUCAUUUA